Molecule: long non-coding RNA, 547 nt
Filed under: Homo sapiens (human)
Lineage: Eukaryota; Metazoa; Chordata; Mammalia; Primates; Hominidae
Description: non-protein coding lnc-RPS24-3:33
Source: RNAcentral
GGAGAGCGGAGGAAUGAAGGAGAGCAGAGAGGAGAGGCUUGGAGGCCCCCAAAGGCUCUGCGCAGACCAGCACUGUCUCCUCCUUCAUCCACAGAGAGGAUGAAAGAACAUGGCAAGAGGAAGACUCACAGAACCCCACAGAGAAGCUUUGAGAAUUGGGCUGUCUGGCUCUCCCAUCACCCAUUUGGCCACCAGCUUUGGUCCCAGCUGCUGUGCCCUCGGGGGAUGCAUUAUGGCCCUGAAAGGGGCCCUUGUCCCUUUUUGGGGUGUCAUCCUGGCUGGGUGGUAUGGAUUUCUGCUGUAAACAUGGCCCAUCUGGGAGAAGCCCAGGUGCCACGUUUUGAACAGCUCUGAAACUUAAAGCUCAGAAGGCUUUGAAAUGCAAAUAUUUUGAAGGAAACAUAAGGAGGAACAUGAAUAUCUCCAGAUCUCAGAGAGGAUGUCUGACCCUUGAGCCAGAAGAAGGCCCAUUUACUCUGUGUUCACUGAUUAAUCCUGAAUGCCAAAUGUGGUGCCUGAUACACAGGAGGUACUUCAUAAUCAUAAU